This 440-nucleotide ribosomal RNA is filed under the name uncultured bacterium. Its description in RNAcentral is "partial 16S ribosomal RNA". It matches the Rfam family "Bacterial small subunit ribosomal RNA", at positions 338 to 795 of the family's 1533-position model. The record is from RNAcentral.
CCUACGGGUGGCAGCAGUGGGGAAUAUUGCACAAUGGGGGAAACCCUGAUGCAGCAACGCCGCGUGAGUGAAGAAUUCUUUCGGUAUGUAAAGCUCUAUCAGCAGGGAAGAAGAUGACGGUACCUGAUUACGAAGCCCCGGCUACCUACGGGCCAGCAGCCGCGGUAAUACGUAGGGGGCAAGCGUUAUCCGGAUUUACUGGGUGUAAAGGGAGCGCAGACGGCAGUGCAAGUCUGGAGUGAAGGCCCGGAGCCCAACCCCGGAACUGCUCUGGAUACUGUGCGGCUAGAGUGCUGGAGGGGCAGGCGGAAUUCCUAGUGUAGCGGUGAAAUGCGUAGAUAUUAGGAGGAACACCAGUGGCGAAGGCGACCUGCUGGACAGUAACUGACGUUGAGGCUCGAAAGCGUGGGGAGCAAACAGGAUUAGAUACCCGAGUAGUC